UGCAAUGGUGGUAAAAUGAAGAUACUGACAUAACUAAUUCACAGAGUAGGCAACUUCAGGGCGAGUGAGGGUGCAAUAUUGGAGAGCCCCCAUAAUUUAAUGAUACUCAAUUAUGUUUUCAAGAGGAUCCCCUGAGGUUGAAGAAAGUUUGCCACUUGCAACACUUAAGCAGUGUAAGGCUUGAAUUUAAAUAUUUUAGCAUGAAGUAGUACAUCAAAGAUGCACUUGCUUUGUCGAAGAUGGAGACCAUGUGAGUCCCGAAACACUUGGAUGCCGAAAAAAGUUUUUUAGAAGACUCGAAUCCUUUAAUGCAAACUUUAUGUGAAGUUUAUCGAUUAAAUAGAAAAUAAGAAAUCACCAUUAAUAUAUCAUCAACAUAAACAUAAACUAAGAAUAAAUGAGAGCACUACUAUGUUGAUAAGUAAAAAGUAAAUGAUCCACUUGAGAUCCAAUAAGGCCAAGCUCCAUAAAAAACUGAGAUAUGCGUUUUAACCAAGCUCGAGGAGCUUGUUUGAGUCUAUAAAAAGCCUUGUUGAGUUUACACAUAUAAUCAGGAAAAUCAGGAUCAACAUAGCCACAGGUUUGUUAAUCUUUUGAAUUAUUGUUAUGUAGUCUCAUGUGAUCCUUGACUCACAAAGUUAGGUAGUAGAAGUAUCGCAUUUGUCGAGCUCUCCCAUUGAAACACACACGCACACCUCCAUCCAUAUUUGAACUGAUGCACCAAAACCUUUUUUGUACUUCUGUUCUAGAAUAGCUCUAUAUGGAUGUAUCUUGAAUCCGUCUGUACAAUUUAAUUGCAAGGAUAUGUUAGGAACUUUAUCAUUCAAGAUCUUUAUGACAAAGGAAAGACAGAUAUUAUUCAUUGUCAUGACAUCAAUAGAUUUUCAACUGAUGAGAAGUUUCUGUAGUCUGGUUUUUCCUAUUCCAAAGCCUGAGUGUGCAUUUGGGUGACUUUACGAGAAUUAGGUGCAAAGAUCCUGUCAGUUAGCUGCGUAAUCUGAAACUUAUGAUAUUUCUCCAUAUGCUGCCUGCUAUCAUCAUAACCUUUUGCACGUUUCUGAAAAAGUGGCAUUUUGUAGAUUCCUGGAUCCAUGAGCCCAUAUGGAAGCGUAUUUCAUGCACUUCAAGAAAUAGGCAAGAAUGAAGGUUUGAAGGGCCUCUAUAGGUGAUUAACUCCAAGAUUGGUUAUGUGCAUAUCUCAAGUUGCUGGAGAACAUUCACCAGCUUAUAUUCUAUCGCAUUCAUGGUGUUUGUAUGGUCAACCAAUUAAUAAAAUGUCCACGUUUUCCUUUU
Populus trichocarpa (black cottonwood) is the source of this 1293-nucleotide long non-coding RNA. RefSeq lists it as uncharacterized. Lineage: Eukaryota; Viridiplantae; Streptophyta; Magnoliopsida; Malpighiales; Salicaceae. The record is from RefSeq and is a predicted model, not a curated record. The transcript is spliced from 2 exons.